This is a long non-coding RNA of Daphnia magna, 439 nucleotides long. RefSeq lists it as uncharacterized. The record is from RefSeq and is a predicted model, not a curated record. The transcript is spliced from 3 exons. NCBI's taxonomy places the organism in Eukaryota, Metazoa, Arthropoda, Branchiopoda, Diplostraca, Daphniidae.
CACUAAAGAUUGAUGACACAGAAGCUCACAUGGUAUCACAUGUCUCUGCAUCUCUGAAGACUGAGCAUGUAGCCUUUCUUUUAACCUGAAUUCCUGUUUACUUACAUUUGUAGGCAGUGUCGAACAGAUUGAGCACAGCUCGAUUAAUGUGUCAUACACAGCAAGGGGUGACACAGGUUCAAUUGAAGUGCUUGAAGGUGAAGGGAAUGCCAUGGCUCAUAUUCAAGUUAUGGAAGCACCAAUUUGAAGAUGUCCUUUGCUUAUCGCUCAUCAUGCCAUGCUGGAAAGUCUUCUGUUUUCUGGUGGGCAGCCUGGCAGCUUCCCUUUUGUUUUUUAUACAAGGCCUCUACACCAGCCGGGCAGGCCACAACUGGUGAAACUGGCUUGGAAAGUCCCAGAUCCACAACUCUGUGAAAGGGAACAUGUGCCAGCGAGAUGU